This 259-nucleotide long non-coding RNA is filed under the name Carica papaya (papaya). Its description in RNAcentral is "long non-coding RNA (CPAP_LNC006393)". The record is from RNAcentral. Lineage: Eukaryota; Viridiplantae; Streptophyta; Magnoliopsida; Brassicales; Caricaceae.
GGGUACUGGAAUGUGCUGUGGCGGUGUCUGGUGGUACCGUGGCUGUGGUACUGGGUCGUACCGCGGCUGUGGUGCCGGGUGGUACUAUGGAGGAACAGGCUCCUGCCGGGGUGGCUCGGGAUCAGCCUGCUGUAGCGGGGGCUCAACCUGCGAUAGCGAAGGAGGUCCGGAUAACUCCCUUCUCUCCUCUCGCCUUUGCUGGGCAGCUACGAGAGCUUCCACCAUCUCAAAUAGUCUGUCUAAAUCCUCCCGAAGGGAA